UACGUAGGGGGCAAGCGUUGUCCGGAUUUAUUGGGCGUAAAGAGCGUGUAGGCGGCUAGAUAGGUCCGUUGUGAAAACUCGAGGCUCAACCUCGAGACGUCGAUGGAAACCAUCUGGCUAGAGUCCGGAAGAGGAGAGUGGAAUUCCUGGUGUAGCGGUGAAAUGCGCAGAUAUCAGGAAGAACACCAGUAGCGAAGGCGGCACUCUGGGCCGGUACUGACGCUGAGGAGCGAAAGCGUGGGGAGCGAACAGG
This 253-nucleotide ribosomal RNA is filed under the name uncultured bacterium. RNAcentral's name for it is "partial 16S ribosomal RNA". It matches the Rfam family "Bacterial small subunit ribosomal RNA", at positions 524 to 776 of the family's 1533-position model. The record is from RNAcentral.